Molecule: long non-coding RNA, 191 nt
Filed under: Cavia porcellus (domestic guinea pig)
Lineage: Eukaryota; Metazoa; Chordata; Mammalia; Rodentia; Caviidae
Description: lncRNA (ENSCPOG00000034619.1)
Source: RNAcentral
AGAGGGCACACAGCAAGGGGACCCUAGUGACCUGGCUGUGCCACAAUCCCUUAAACUCCAGAGAAGCAGCCAAGGGGAGAAAGAGGGAGAUGAAGUGACAAACCGAGGUCAGCCCUUCAGAGGUACCAUUCUGGGUGAUCCCACUGUUCCAUGGGAAAUAAAAACAAGGGUUAAAAAAAAAAGGACUUAGC